GGCCUCGUAGCUCAUCUGGUAGAGCGUGCGCUGUACAAAAGCGUAAGCGGUGUCUAUGCAUGGAUUCGAAUCCCACCGAGACUA
Molecule: transfer RNA, 84 nt
Filed under: Echinostoma caproni
Lineage: Eukaryota; Metazoa; Platyhelminthes; Trematoda; Plagiorchiida; Echinostomatidae
Rfam family: tRNA
About the family: Transfer RNA (tRNA) molecules are approximately 80 nucleotides in length. Their secondary structure includes four short double-helical elements and three loops (D, anti-codon, and T loops). Further hydrogen bonds mediate the characteristic L-shaped molecular structure. tRNAs have two regions of fundamental functional importance: the anti-codon, which is responsible for specific mRNA codon recognition, and the 3' end, to which the tRNAs corresponding amino acid is attached (by aminoacyl-tRNA synthetases). tRNAs cope with the degeneracy of the genetic code in two manners: having more than one tRNA (with a specific anti-codon) for a particular amino acid; and 'wobble' base-pairing, i.e. permitting non-standard base-pairing at the 3rd anti-codon position.
Source: Rfam by way of RNAcentral